Molecule: ribosomal RNA, 253 nt
Filed under: uncultured bacterium
Lineage: Bacteria
Description: partial 16S ribosomal RNA
Rfam family: Bacterial small subunit ribosomal RNA
Source: RNAcentral
UACGGGGGGGGCAAGCGUUGUUCGGAAUUACUGGGCGUAAAGGGCUCGUAGGCGGCCAACUAAGUCAGACGUGAAAUCCCUCGGCUUAACCGGGGAACUGCAUCUGAUACUGGAUGGCUUGAGGUUGGGAGAGGGAUGCGGAAUUCCAGGUGUAGCGGUGAAAUGCGUAGAUAUCUGGAGGAACACCGGUGGCGAAGGCGGCAUCCUGGACCAAUUCUGACGCUGAGGAGCGAAAGCCAGGGGAGCAAACGGG